ACGGGAGGCAGCAGUGGGGAAUAUUGGGCAAUGGGCGCAAGCCCGACCCAGCAACGCCGCGUGAGGGAAGAAGGUUUUCGGAUUGUAAACCUCUGUCCUUGGUGACGAAGGAAGUGACGGUAGCCAAGGAGGAAGCCCCGGCUAACUACGUGCCAGCAGCCGCGGUAAUACGUAGGGGGCGAGCGUUGUCCGGAAUGACUGGGCGUAAAGGGCGUGUAGGCGGCAUUGUAAGUCCGGAGUGAAAGUCCCGCUUUCAAGGUGGGAAUUGCUUUGGAGACUGCAGAGCUUGAGUACGGAGAGGUAAGUGGAAUUCCCAGUGUAGCGGUGAAAUGCGUAGAGAUUGGGAGGAACACCAGUGGAGAAGGCGACUUACUGGACUGUAACUGACGCUGAGGCGCGAAAGUGUGGGGAGCAAACAGGAUUAGAUACCCUGGUA
Molecule: ribosomal RNA, 436 nt
Filed under: uncultured bacterium
Lineage: Bacteria
Description: partial 16S ribosomal RNA
Rfam family: Bacterial small subunit ribosomal RNA
Source: RNAcentral